Molecule: ribosomal RNA, 380 nt
Filed under: uncultured eukaryote
Lineage: Eukaryota
Description: partial 18S ribosomal RNA
Rfam family: Eukaryotic small subunit ribosomal RNA
Source: RNAcentral
CAAUAGCGUAUAUUAAAGUUGUUGCAGUUAAAAAGCUCGUAGUUGGAUUUGUGGCGUACGGUGUGUUCCGGGCACUUGUUGUCUGAAUAACCUGCUGUUGCCAUCCUUGGGUGGAACCUGUGUGGCAUUAGGUUGUCGUGCAGGGGAUGCCCAUCAUUUACUGUGAAAAAAUUAGAGUGUUCAAAGCAGGCUUAUGCCGUUGAAUAUAUUAGCAUGGAAUAAUGAGAUAGGACUUUUUUGCUAUUUUGUUGGUUUGCGCAAAGAGGUAAUGAUUAAUAGGGACAGUUGGGGGUAUUCGUAUUCCAUUGUCAGAGGUGAAAUUCUUGGAUUUUUGGAAGACGAACUACUGCGAAAGCAUUUACCAAGGAUGUUUUCAUUAA